RNAcentral lists this long non-coding RNA (5172 nucleotides) under Malus domestica (apple). RNAcentral's name for it is "long non-coding RNA (MDOM_LNC016935)". Lineage: Eukaryota; Viridiplantae; Streptophyta; Magnoliopsida; Rosales; Rosaceae. The record is from RNAcentral.
CGGCGUGUUGUGUGACCGCCGUAUGCCACUGAAGCUCAAGGGAAAAUUUUAUAGGACGGCAAUAAGGCCGGCGAUGCUGUAUGGCACAGAAUGUUGGGCGGUGAAACAUCAACACGUACACAAAAUGGGUGUAGCGGAGAUGAGGAUGCUUCGUUGGAUGUGUGGGCACACGAGAAAGGAUAAGAUUAGGAAUGAGGAUAUCCGGGGUAAAGUAGGAGUAGCCGAAAUUGAAGGAAAGAUGAGAGAAAAUCGGUUACGGUGGUUUGGACAUGUGCAAAGAAGGCCUACUGACGCUCCGAUUAGAAGAUGCGACUAUGGGACAGAGGUUCAGGGCCGAAGGGGUAGAGGAAGACCUAGGAAAACUUUGGAAGAGACUCUAAGAAAAGACUUAGAGUACUUGGAUCUAACGAAGGACAUGACACAGGAUCGAGCACAAUGGCGUUCUAAGAUUCAUAUAGCCGAUCCCACUCAGUGACUUGGAUUUUCCAAGUCUCCAACCGAGAAGUUUUCCUCACUCGGGAAAAUUAAGGGAACACUACCCCAACCUACAUGCUCCACUCAGAAAGCUUCAACAUACAAGCUUCAACAAAAGAAAAUUCAAAGAACUUAGCGAAGAAGGCUUUGGUGUAUUUAACACAAUACGUUGAAAUGAAGGAAAGCUUAUUUAUUGAUAUCCCCGAUAAGCUACAAAUAUGUACAUAUACAUGAGUCAAAAUAAACAAACAAGAGGGAGCCUUCACAAAGGUUGCUUAGGAGAAGUCUCAGCAGUCGGUAGAGCCCCAGAAAGAGAAGGCACCGGAGGGGGAUCAUUUGGAGCCUCAGUACUGGACAGAACCCUAGAAGGAGGAGGCAUCAGAGGUUGAUCAUUUGGAGCUUCAUUACGCGGUACAGCCCCAGAAGACGAAGGCAAUAAAUGCCUUUGGAACAAACCCACAAAUCUCUGAUGAUCAAGUAAAACCUGACCAUCAGUUUCCUUCAUCUGGUCAAGCUUCCUCUUCAUGUUUGUAGCAUAGUCAUGUGCGAGCCGGUGCAACUGUUUAUUCUCAUGCUUGAGCCCUCUAAUCUCCUGUUUGAGACUCAUCACUUCAGCCGCCAAUGAUUCAACUUGGCGGGUUCGAGCAAAUAGGCGUUGGGCCAUAUUAGACACAGAACCUGCACACUGAACACUGAGAGCCAGCGAAUCCUUAACAGCUAACUCAUCAGACCGUUUGGAAAGUAGUCUGUUAUCUUUGGGAGUGAGAAGGUUCCUGGCCACCACCGCAGCGGUCAUAUCAUUCUUCAUCACGGAAUCCCCAACGGUAAGAGGACCAGUAGGGGAGACGAAGGAUGGGCGCCAUAUGUUGUCUGGAGAAGGCGGGGCUGCCUCUUCAACAAGGUUCAAGUCAAAACGACGGUCGGAGGGGCCAGACAUUUUCAAAGGUGUUGAAGAGAGAAGAGGUCGGACAAAUCAAGAUCUUAGAAGUGCAAGAAUGGAAGCUUCUACUGGUGGAGAUUCAAGUGUGCUUUGGAACUUAAUGCCAGCCCCUAUAAAAAUCUGCACUCGACGGAGCUUCAGAAAUCGAAGAGGCGCCUGCUCAGAAAUCGAAGAGGCGUUUGCUUUCUCAAAAGCUGGGCUGCUUAGAGAUCACGAGGGUUGAUCUCAGAAAUCGAAGAGGCGUUUGCUUUCUCAAAAGUUGGGCUGCUCAAAGACCACGAAAGGCCGAUCUCAGAAAUCGAAGAGGCGCUCGCUUUCUCAAAAGCUGGGCUCCUCCAGAGACCACGAGGGCCGAUCUCAGAAAUCGAAGAGGCACCUACUUUUCCAGCCUUGUCAGCACCUGUCACACGCACACUCAGCUUUGCGGAAAUUAUGGGCAUUCUGUCGAAGACUUCUGGGGAAGUAGAAAACACACAUGAAUCUUACUGUUCAAUCACCCACUUCCCACACGCAACAAUAGCUCAUGGGUACCACAGAUAACUUUGCCAAAGUUCUCUGCCAAAGUUGAGCACGUGAAGCUUGCAGCUCCCACUACAUCGCUCUGACCAAGAAGGGUAAAAGAAUAGCAAAGAAACAGCACUAACAAAGUUUAGACCCAUAAAUUUUGAAGGUCUAGCUACCAUAUUAUUACCCACAAGGGUAAAGGAACAGUACCACUGCUGGAUAAUUGGAAAGUCCCUGUGUGUCAACCUCUGUGCCUUCGUGGCAAGGUAGACUAGCAAACAUGCCCAACCUUUACUCACAUUCGAGAAAAACACUCCCAAUAAGAUUGCUUGCUCCAAAAUCGAAGAGGCACCGUCCUCCGAAUCUCGAGAGCCAGACUCCCAACAUGACUACUUUCUUAAAAAUCGAAGAGAGGGUAAAGGAACAGUACCAUUGCUGGAUAUAAUUGGAAAGUCCCUGUGUGUCAACCUCUGUGCUUCGUGGCAAGGUAGACUAGCAAACAUGCCCAACCUUUACUCACAUUCGAGAAAACACUCCCAACAAGAUUGCUUGCUCCAAAAUCGAAGAGGCACCGCCCUCCGAAUCUCGAGAGCCAGACUCCCAACAUGAUUACUUUCUCAAAAAUCGAAGAGACACUGCUCCCCGAAUCUCGAGAGCCAGACCCCCAGCAUGAUUGCUUUCUCAAAAAUCGAUGAGGCAUCGUUCUCCGAAUCAAUCGAAGAGGCGCUCGCUUUCUCAAAAGCUGGGCUGCUCAGAGACCACGAGGGCCGAUCUCAGAAAUCGAAGAGGCACCUACUUUUCUAGCCUUGUCAGCACCUGUCACACGCACACUCAGCUUUGCAGAAAUUAUGGGCAUUCUGUCGAAGACUUCUGGUGAAGUAGAAAGCACAUGAAUCUUACUGUUCAAUCACCCACUUCCCACACGCAACAAUAGCUCAUGGGUACCACAGAUAACUUUGUCCAAAGUUCUCUGCCAAAGUUGAGCACGUGAAGCUUGCAGCUCCCACUACAUCGCUCUGACCAAGAAAGGUAAAAGAAUAGCAAAGAAACAGCACUAACAAAGUUUAGACACAUAAAUUUUGAAGGUCUAGCUACCAUAUUAUUACCCACAAGGGUAAAGGAACAGUACCACUGCUGGAUAAUUGGAAAGUCCCUGUGUGUCAACCUCCGUGCUUCGUGGCAAGGUAGACUAGCAAACAUGCCCAACCUUUACUCACAUUCCGAGAAAACACUCCCAACAAGAUUGCUUGCUCCAAAAUCGAAGAGGCACCGCCUUCCGAAUCUCGAGAGCCAGACUCCCAACAUGAUUACUCUCUCAAAAAUCGAAGAGACACUGCUCCCGAAUCUCGAGAGCCAGACCCCCACCAUGAUUGCUUUCUCAAAAAUCGAAGAAGCAUCGUUCUCCGAAUCUCGAGAGCCAGAUACCACAUACCACUUUUUCAAAGUGCUCUGACAGAGUUAAAACAUGUGAAGCUGGCAGCUCCCACUACCGUGCUAUGACCAAGCAGGGUAAAGGAAUAGCAUUACUACUUGUUGUUAGGGAGACUCCUAUAUAUGUCGACCUCCAUCCCCAACGGACAGGCAGACCUGCAAAAAUGCUCAACCCUUCAUCAUAUCUGAGAGGGCACUCCCAACGAAGCCUUUCGAAAUAUUCAGCUUUCUUUCCCCCCGAUAAUACCUUUGCAAACAAGCUAUACUAGAGCAAGAAUAUCUCAUAUCAUCAGGGUUAAAAGCAAGAGUAUCCCAUAUCAUGCUUUUUCCCUGUCUUUUCCUUUGGCCUUGUUUUUACCUGCAAGACAAGGAGAAAGAGAGCAAUCAGUCAGCACUUGAAAUCAAGCUUCCAGCCAGGAACUGACUGCCUGGAACCCCUUACCUGAUUACUUACCUGGCAUUGCUCUCGAGUACUCAUCUUCAACAUCUUAUGUUUCCAGGGAAGAUACCGCAUCUGCUUGAGGAACAGAUAGGGCAAGUGCGAAGGAUACAAGGAAGCAUGUGGAGACAAGCGUAACAGCACACGUGCCGAUCCAUCCAUUACUCUGUCAAAAGCAAAAGUAUAUCCCAUAUCAGCAGGGCCGAACGUACUCUAGAUUUGAUGGACUUGUUUUGACCCUCAAAUUCUUCAGUCGGCCUUAUACUCUGGAGGAAACCAGAAAACCCUCCAGCUCAGUUCAAGAAUAAGCCUGUGGAAAGUUACUUCUUCAAAAGCAAAAGUAUCUCAUAUCAUCUCUUCUCAUUUUUCUUCUCUUUAUCCUUCAUGCUGCUGCAAGAUGGGGAGAAGGUGAACAAUCAGCCGGAGCUCUGAUUGCUUACCUUGUCUGUCACCUCUUUCAGCAAAUCCCCUAGCUCGGCGACUUGGGGGACUCCUACUACAUGGUUUGUAUCGCGCUUGACCAAGCCUGAAACUACAAGUAAGCUUCAAGUGAAAUUGAUACAUUACCUUGUGCAUCUCCACCAGUUAAAGAUACCACCCCUGGAUGGAGGAAGAGUACUUCCAGAGAAGCUGCCACAUCUACCUAUGAGACAGAUAAGGCAAGUCAAGAUGAUACCACACUCCGAUACUUAGAAGUUUCGUGAUUACGAGAUCAUUCUCCCACAAUAUUUCCUAAUGUCAUUUGUACUCUAAUGUCAUUUGUACUAAAUCAUUCACUUGUACUCACUAAAGGAGAGCUUGAACCUAUGUACUUGUGUAAACCCUUCACAAUUAAUGAGAACUCUUCUAUUCCGUGGACGUAGCCAAUCUGGGUGAACCACGUACAUCUUGUGUUUGCUUUCCUGUCUCUAUCCAUUUAUAUACUACUUAUCCACACUAAUGACCGGAGCAAUUUAGCGAAGAUCACAAAAAGCGACCAUUUUUCGCUACCUAGGAUCUAUCUUACAAGAGAACGGAGAAUUAGAUGGAGAUCUCAACCCAUAGAAUACGAGCUGGAUGGAUGAAGUGUAAGAGUGCAUCCAGCAUGUUGUGUGACCGUCGUAGGCCACUGAAGCUCAAGGGAAAAUUUUAUAGACGACGGCAAUAAAGGCCAGCGAUGUUGUAUGGCACAGAAUGUUGGGCGGCGGUGAAACAUCAACACGUACACAAAAUGGGUGUAGCAGAGAUGAGGAUGCUUCGCGGGAUGUGUGGGCACACGAGAAAGGAUAAGAUUGAGAAUGAGGAUAUCCGAGGUAAAGUAGGAGUAGCCGAAAUUGAAGGAAAGAUGAGAGAAAUCGGUUUUGGUGAUUUGGACAUGUGCAAAGAAGGCCGACUGACGCUCCGG